This 73-nucleotide transfer RNA is filed under the name Trichonephila clavata. It matches the Rfam family "tRNA". From Rfam's summary of the family: Transfer RNA (tRNA) molecules are approximately 80 nucleotides in length. The record is from Rfam by way of RNAcentral. Lineage: Eukaryota; Metazoa; Arthropoda; Arachnida; Araneae; Nephilidae.
GCCGCUAUAUCUCAGUGGCUAGAGCGUUGGUCUCGUAAACCAAAGGACGCGAGUUCGAAUCUCGUUGGCGGCA